UACGUAUGGUGCAAGCGUUAUCCGGAUUCACUGGGUGUAAAGGGAGCGUAGACGGAAUUGCAAGUCUGAAGUGAAAGGCAAGGGCUCAACCCUUGGACUGCUUUGGAAACUGUGCUGCUGGAGUGUCGGAGAGGCAAGUGGAAUUCCUAGUGUAGCGGUGAAAUGCGUAGAUAUUAGGAGGAACACCAGUGGCGAAGGCGGCUUGCUGGACGAUGACUGACGUUGAGGCUCGAAAGCGUGGGGAGCAAACAGG
This 253-nucleotide ribosomal RNA is filed under the name uncultured bacterium. RNAcentral describes it as "partial 16S ribosomal RNA". It matches the Rfam family "Bacterial small subunit ribosomal RNA", at positions 524 to 776 of the family's 1533-position model. The record is from RNAcentral.